CAAGUCGAACGGGAAAUAUUUCAUUGAGACUUCGGUGGAUUUGAUCUAUUUCUAGUGGCGGACGGGUGAGUAACGCGUGGGUAACCUGCCUUAUACAGGGGGAUAACAGUCAGAAAUGGCUGCUAAUACCGCAUAAGCGCACAGAGCUGCAUGGCUCAGUGUGAAAAACUCCGGUGGUAUAAGAUGGACCCGCGUUGGAUUAGCUAGUUGGUGGGGUAACGGCCCACCAAGGCGACGAUCCAUAGCCGGCCUGAGAGGGUGAACGGCCACAUUGGGACUGAGACACGGCCCAGACUCCUACGGGAGGCAGCAGUGGGGAAUAUUGCACAAUGGGGGAAACCCUGAUGCAGCGACGCCGCGUGAAGGAAGAAGUAUCUCGGUAUGUAAACUUCUAUCAGCAGGGAAGAUAGUGACGGUACCUGACUAAGAAGCCCCGGCUAACUACGUGCCAGCAGCCGCGGUAAUACGUAGGGGGCAAGCGUUAUCCGGAUUUACUGGGU
Molecule: ribosomal RNA, 500 nt
Filed under: uncultured bacterium
Lineage: Bacteria
Description: bacterial SSU rRNA
Rfam family: Bacterial small subunit ribosomal RNA
Source: RNAcentral